Molecule: ribosomal RNA, 426 nt
Filed under: uncultured bacterium
Lineage: Bacteria
Description: bacterial SSU rRNA
Rfam family: Bacterial small subunit ribosomal RNA
Source: RNAcentral
UAGGGAAUAUUCGGCAAUGGGGGGAACCCUGACCGAGCAACGCCGCGUGAAAGAAGAAGUACUUCGGUAUGUAAAUUUCUUUUAUUGGGGAAGAAAGUAUUGUAGAGGAAAUGCUAUAAUAUUGACGGUACCUGAUGAAUAAGCUCCGGCUAACUAUGUGCCAGCAGCCGCGGUAAUACAUAGGGAGCGAGCGUUAUCCGGAAUUAUUGGGCGUAAAGGGUGCGUAGGCGGUAUGUGAAGUCUUUGGUUAAAAAUCUAAGCUUAACUUAGUAGUGCCAAGGAAACUGACAAACUAGAGUGUGGUAGAGGUAAGUGGAAUUCCAUGUGUAGCGGUAAAAUGCGUAAAUAUAUGGAGGAACACCAGUGGCGAAGGCGGCUUACUGGGCCACAACUGACGCUGAGGCACGAAAGCGUGGGGAGCAAACA